RNAcentral lists this long non-coding RNA (1652 nucleotides) under Gallus gallus (chicken). The record is from RNAcentral. Lineage: Eukaryota; Metazoa; Chordata; Aves; Galliformes; Phasianidae.
CGCAGGCCUCAGCACUUCUGAGCACCAAACGCUGAGUUCAGCUGGGCACAGCCCCAUGGCCGUGUAACCCUUCGCUUGCCGGAUGGAGCGCGUUCCCCUGUGCGGAGCAGCGCCUUCGGGCUGCAGGGCGCUGCACACAGCAGGAGCUGCGCUGCAGGUUCACUUCUAGAGCACGAAGUGAGAAGAAGCAGGGAGGCUUCAUUUUGAGCCUGCCACGGAAUGGUCAACUUCUGCGCGCUCCCCAAAGGAAACGGGAAUGUUGGAAGAGAUUGUUAACCCUUCUGUUGUUUACGAUGUGGCACGGGAUUAGCAGUGGGGCUCCCCCCAGAGCCCGCGCCCCACCGGCGUGCCGGGCGGAUUAUGGCAGGGCAGCAUGCUGACCUCUGCUCUGCUGGGAAACGGAGGCUCCCGAGAUGAUAAGUGGCUCUGGGAAGAAAUUCCUUUCCCCACGUGAGGGAGUGGCGGCGCUGGGCACGUCUGCACCUCUGCACACACGUGGGGACCUGACGUGGAGAGGUGGGAGCUGAGGUUCUGCGAGGAGGACACGGUGUGGGGCCCUGCAGAUCAGGUCAGUGUGGGGCAGGACGGGGCAGGACAGCCAUACCUAGCUGGCUGGGUGCUGGCCGGCUCCAGCUGAGCAAACACAGCUGGGAAGCAGUUCUUGCAGGUGCCUGGAGCAGCUUGGUGCGGGGGCACAGCAGUGUGGAUCCAUACUGGGAUUAUUAGUCCUGAUGGAGUUUGAGGUUCAGGUAUGGGGGUUGUGAUCACACUAGAGAGGAAUAAGUUUGUCUGAGGUCUUUUGUGUGCAGGAACCAGUAGGAGAAUGAAAGGAGAAAUCACACCAGCAGUCACUAGAUCUAGCCAAGUGGAUUUGGUGCCAGGAGGGUGCAGCUGUCAGACAGCCCCAGAGACUGGCAGUGCUGCAUCCCUGGGUGAGGGGGGCUGGGCAGCCCCUCCCUCCCACUCAGUGCCCUGGGAGGGACACACGGCCGGCAGCAGCACUUGCUGGGGCUGCACAGAGAGGGGAGGCCCCGGGGGUCAGCAGUGGGCUGUACCGGAUGGCAUCCCGCAGCACUGCUCUGCAGCCUCUCCUAAGCUGGGAGGCUGUGAUGGGAUCAGCAGCACUGAGGGCUGUGUAUGAGUCCCGGUGCUACUGAGGCACAGCACGAGAGUGCAACGGGAGCGGUUUGGGCUGCUGGCCAAAAGGAAAAUUACAUUCCAGGUCAAACACGAGGUUAACCUUUACCUGUAAAGGGCUGGGUUUGGUCCUUAAGUUGUCUAGAUAAACUUAAAAGCACAAAGAUUUCAAAAGAACAUCGUUGUUUGAGUAUUGUCCUCUGCGCAGAAGGAUUUGUCAGUAAUUUAUGAAUAGAUAUUGCUAAAACAAACAGCACCAUGGGUGAAGCAACAAGACUGUUAGAGAAGAGGUGCCUUGUUUGCAGCCCCAAACCAGCAGCGCCUCACUGCACUGCUGUGCCUGGCAUCACACAGACCUGAGCUGUGCGUGUGGAACCCGGGCGCUCUGGGAGCCUUACUGGGAGCUCAGAUCCUCCUCCAGCCCUCACAGUGUCAGCGCAUCUCUAGGUCGACUGCAGGAGUUUUCUAAAUCUGGAGCUUUUUGGGACGUGGUGCAGCAGGAGCGGGCGGCCUCC